RNAcentral lists this ribosomal RNA (510 nucleotides) under uncultured bacterium. Its description in RNAcentral is "partial 16S ribosomal RNA". It matches the Rfam family "Bacterial small subunit ribosomal RNA", at positions 28 to 507 of the family's 1533-position model. The record is from RNAcentral.
GACGAACGCUGGCGGCGUGCUUAACACAUGCAAGUCGAACGAAGAGCGACGGAAGCUUGCUUCUAUCAAUCUUAGUGGCGAACGGGUGAGUAACGCGUAAUCAACCUGCCCUUCAGAGGGGGACAACAGUUGGAAACGACUGCUAAUACCGCAUACGAUCUAACCUCGGCAUCGAGGAUAGAUGAAAGGUGGCCUCUACAUGUAAGCUAUCACUGAAGGAGGGGAUUGCGUCUGAUUAGCUAGUUGGAGGGGUAACGGCCCACCAAGGCGAUGAUCAGUAGCCGGUCUGAGAGGAUGAACGGCCACAUUGGGACUGAGACACGGCCCAGACUCCUACGGGAGGCAGCAGUGGGGAAUCUUCCGCAAUGGACGAAAGUCUGACGGAGCAACGCCGCGUGAGUGAUGACGGCCUUCGGGUUGUAAGGCUCUGUUAAUCGGGACGAAAGGCCUUCUUGCGAAUAGUGAGAAGGAUUGACGGUACCGGAAUAGAAAGCCACGGCUAACUACGUG